Molecule: long non-coding RNA, 978 nt
Filed under: Mytilus galloprovincialis (Mediterranean mussel)
Lineage: Eukaryota; Metazoa; Mollusca; Bivalvia; Mytilida; Mytilidae
Source: RNAcentral
CUUGUGUACAAUUUGGAAAUUAGCAUGGCGUUCAUUAUCACUGAACUAGUAUAUAUUUGUUUAAGGGCCACGGAAGGACGCCUCCGGGUGCGGGAGUUUCUCGCUACAUUGAAGACCUGUUUGUGACCUUCUGCUGUUGUUUUUUCUAUGGUCGGGUUGUUGUCUCUUUGACACAUUCCCAAUUUCCAUUCUCAAUUUUAGUAUAAGCUCUAGAAAAAUUUCAAGUCUCAGGUACGAAAUCAUUUGAUUUGAGGAGGCAUUCUGAGAUAUUUGAGAGAGAAAAAAUUGACUCUGAUUCUUGCCUAAAACAAAAAUUCUGGCCGUAUCUGGAUUGAAAACAAUAGUCUUAUCCACUUUUUUCCUAUUAAAAACGAAAAUUUCCGACAAAAUUAUUAAGCAUGAAAUGAACAUGAUCAAUAAAAACGGACGUAGUUUUUUUUUGGCCGGGGUUUGCAUGUCUUACUGGAAUGUCUGUUUCACCGGACUGAUAUAUAUUGCAUACUUUUUCAAGACCAGACUGUAACCUGCCUACUGGGUGUGACCUUUAUGUCUCCAUUUGUGGACCGUCAUUCUAACUUCGUUGUCAUUUCAGACACUUUCGUUAUCUUUUGUGGAUUUGGAACCCCUCACUUCGGUUCUCUAUGUUAUGUUGGGUGAAACAUAUCAAUCAAACAUUUGGAUAAAAACUGCUUGUUUGUCUUUUUUAACUCGUGUCGGUCGUAUUGUAAAUUGAGUCGAAUUUUUUACUGACAAGUCCUACAUCAAAUAUAUCAGUACAUAGCUUUGGAUUUAUACUAUCAUUUUAUGAUAGGCAAUUAAUAGGGAGAAUACAGCAUAAAAAAUGUCAAAUCCUUACACUUUACAGCAACUAUAAAAUAUACAUGCCCCAAGCACUUAUUUUAUGUUUUUUAGCCCAAAAAGAGUCCCAAAAAUUUUUCGCCUCGCUCCGCUCGGCGAUCUUUUAAAUCUUCGCCCCCC